AGAGAGGCUGAGGCGCCCACCACCGAAGCGUAAGCCAGCAAUGGAUCGGUACGCGGUACUGGUAGAUCUAUACGAUUGUCAGUGAGUCUCUCCUGAUCAAAGUCAAUGAUGUUGUUAAUUUUGUUGAUAUUAUUAAUUAAUGCUAUAUGUUUCUGUGUUGGUCAAUCUUCUUGCCAGUUCAGUAGAUGCUUUACAGGAAUAAUGUCUCUCAUCAAACAGAACAAACGAACAAACCCACCGCUGCUUUAAUUCCAAAUCCAUUUAAUACCACCGCUGAAGCUACCUGCCUUCUCUCUCAUCAUGUAUAUCUGCCACCACCGCUUCUUCAACAUGCUUCUCUGUUCUCUCCCUUUGGCCUGUCAGACUUCCAUCCAUACACCCAUACUCUAUCUGUACAUCCACAUGUGGGACCAAUUACAUAUGAACACUCUCUCACACACACACA
RNAcentral lists this long non-coding RNA (445 nucleotides) under Citrus maxima (pomelo). Its description in RNAcentral is "long non-coding RNA (CMAX_LNC001155)". Lineage: Eukaryota; Viridiplantae; Streptophyta; Magnoliopsida; Sapindales; Rutaceae. The record is from RNAcentral.